AUGAAAUAUGGAAAAGUGUUCAUCUGUGCUACCAGGCUCGCCUGCAGGAAGGACCGUGGGACACUAUUACACAGCAGGAGCACCCCUUACUGGGACAGCCAUUUUUCGUUCUACACCCCUGCCGGACUAAUGAGUUCAUGUGUUCUAUACUGGCCGGUUCACAAAAAGACAACAGGUGAGAAACACGACUGUGCUUUGCAAGGUGUAUGUGCUGUAGAUAAAGUAAGUCAGCUGGGAAGUGGGCAUGGGCAGAACAGCUUCCUUGGUCCAAAUGGAAGGGGAUUCUGUAUUGUCACUUCACUGCUGAAAAUGAUAACAUGCUUGAUACUGCUCAAGUGAAGGAGUAGCCCCAUUUUAAAAUACCUUAUUACUGUCAGCUGUAUCUGUAUCGCAGGAAAAAAACUGAGUAAGAUCUUCAUGGAUUAUGUAUGUCUUUUUUUUCUAGACACAGAAAUUACAUUGUAUUGUGGCUAAGUACAGUAGGCCCAGUUGUGGGUCUAAAUCUACCCCUGAGUUACGCAAAGCUAGGACCCGAAGAGAAUACAAAUGCUGAAACUGAUUGAAAUUUUGUGGAAGGUAAGAGAAAGUUACAUCAUCUCCAUCACCCUUCUCACAUCAUCCUCCAAAAUUGUAAGAAAAUUAGAUAACUGAUGAAAAUAUUAUCUUUGCUUUUGGAGCUCUUUGAAAAAAAAUUAUCUUUGCCUUUGGAGCCUUUGUUCAUUUCAUUUAGGACUCAGAUUUUGGUAUUUUGCUUACACAACCGCCUUGUUACCUUUCAUGUUUUGCAAUGGAAAUUUGUGCUGAGAGAUAUGUGUUUGGCACAUUGCUGUGACCCUUCCUAACUGUCAGAACUUUCCUGAGAGGGAGGUAUCUCUCAGGUGUAUAGGAGCAUUUUGUGGCAGACCUUCCAGCUCAUGGUUGAUGGUGCCAUCCAUCAAAACUCUGCUUCACUAAUUUGAAUUUCAUCCCUUCUCUUUUUCCUGUUUGAUGUCUCCACUUCAGACCCCUGAGCUUGAAGACAGGUGAUACAACCAUGUAGUAAAGCUACUGAAGACUUUUCUAGAGAAGAAACAGACUAAAGUCAUUCUGUGUGAUUG
This 1097-nucleotide long non-coding RNA is filed under the name Coturnix japonica (Japanese quail). RNAcentral's name for it is "lncRNA (ENSCJPG00005000529.1)". Lineage: Eukaryota; Metazoa; Chordata; Aves; Galliformes; Phasianidae. The record is from RNAcentral.